GCAUAAUCAUUUGCCGUUUAAUUGAUGGCUGGAAUGAAUGAAUAUACGAGAGCUCAACUGUCUCAUUUUUACAAAUAUAAAUUGACCCUCAAGUGAAGAGACUUGAAUUCUUAAAAAAGACGAAAAGACCCUAUAGAGCUUUACCUGAAAUCUAUAUCAUAUAUAAUAAAGGUUUAGUUGGGGCAACUAGAGAGCACCUAAAACCUCUCUUCAAAUUUUCUAAUAACGAUCCGUUUUUACGAUAAGUAGAAAAAGCUACCUUAGGGAUAACAGGCUAAUCCUCUUUAAGAGACCAUAUUGACAAGAGGGA
RNAcentral lists this ribosomal RNA (310 nucleotides) under Polydora hoplura. Its description in RNAcentral is "partial large subunit ribosomal RNA". It matches the Rfam family "Bacterial large subunit ribosomal RNA", at positions 1959 to 2517 of the family's 2925-position model. The record is from RNAcentral. Lineage: Eukaryota; Metazoa; Annelida; Polychaeta; Spionida; Spionidae.